AGACAGCAGUAGCCGCGGUAAUACGUAGGUGGCAAGCGUUGUCCGGAAUUAUUGGGCGUAAAGCGCGCGCAGGCGGUUUCUUAAGUCUGAUGUGAAAGCCCCCGGCUUAACCGGGGAGGGUCAUUGGAAACUGGGAAACUUGAGUGCAGAAGAGGAGAGUGGAAUUCCACGUGUAGCGGUGAAAUGCGUAGAGAUGUGGAGGAACACCAGUGGCGAAGGCGACUCUCUGGCCUGUAACUGACGCUGAGGAGCGAAAGCGUGGGGAGCGAACAGGAUUAGAUACCCCUGUAGUCCCUGUCUCUUAUAC
This 307-nucleotide ribosomal RNA is filed under the name uncultured bacterium. RNAcentral describes it as "partial 16S ribosomal RNA". It matches the Rfam family "Bacterial small subunit ribosomal RNA", at positions 506 to 807 of the family's 1533-position model. The record is from RNAcentral.